GUGCUUGCUUUGACAGCACAUAUACUAAAAUUCAAGUGAUAUACAGAUAGCAGCCCCCUGCACAGGAUGACAUGUAAAUUCAAGUAACUUCUGUAGUUUUU
Molecule: small nuclear RNA, 101 nt
Filed under: Meriones unguiculatus (Mongolian gerbil)
Lineage: Eukaryota; Metazoa; Chordata; Mammalia; Rodentia; Muridae
Source: RNAcentral